UAAAAUGCAGAGACCAAAACAGAAGAAUUCAGUCUAGGAGAAAAUCUUGAGAUAUAAUCAUCAUGCGCUUCGCAAUUCUUUUCGUUCUUAUUAUUUGCACAAUGACAACGAAGGUGACACACGGGUGUCACCCAAAUACACCAGGGUGCCACACUACUCCCAAACCCAAAUAAAAACAAGAGAGAACGCUAUA
Molecule: long non-coding RNA, 193 nt
Organism: Drosophila takahashii
Lineage: Eukaryota; Metazoa; Arthropoda; Insecta; Diptera; Drosophilidae
Source: RefSeq, a predicted model, not a curated record